GGUCUCUUAUGUGCGUAGAGAUACUGAAUUUCAAAGAGUGUACUCGUUAUUCGUUUUUGUCCUCUCCAUUGGAGUUUGAUCGGAAAACAAAUCAUUAAUAUAAAAAAAAUUGUUAUAGUCACAGCAGAGUAAUUGAAGAAAAUUGAAAUUCUUUACUGGACUGAGUGAUAAUGACGUAUAAAUAUUUGAUACUAAAUACCCAAAAACUGAAGACAUAGAAUGUUUGUCCGAUUGUUUAAAACUGUUUCAAAUAAACGUAUAUUGCCACCAAGAAAUUAUUACUGUAUUACUGUGUAUUAUAUACACAACAUAAUACUCAAUUUUGUAGGUAAAUUAAAUCGAAUACCGGGACUUUGAUGUAUUAUGAAUAUCGUUACAUAAUAUUUUUAUUUGCCACAUUGAUUAUACAUGCCAUGGAAUUCAAACAAAUGUACAGUAUAUUCACGUAUUUCAAAAUAUUUAAAUACUCAUUUUGUGAUUUUAUAAUUAAAAAUACAAAGUAUGUAUACAUUUAUUUUAAACUUAGCAC
Long non-coding RNA from Aphis gossypii (cotton aphid), 529 nucleotides. RefSeq lists it as uncharacterized. The transcript is spliced from 4 exons. Lineage: Eukaryota; Metazoa; Arthropoda; Insecta; Hemiptera; Aphididae. The record is from RefSeq and is a predicted model, not a curated record.